This 492-nucleotide ribosomal RNA is filed under the name uncultured bacterium. Its description in RNAcentral is "partial 16S ribosomal RNA". It matches the Rfam family "Bacterial small subunit ribosomal RNA", at positions 29 to 507 of the family's 1533-position model. The record is from RNAcentral.
AGUGAACGCUGGCGGUAGGCCUAACACAUGCAAGUCGAACGGCAGCACAGUAAGAGCUUGCUCUUACGGGUGGCGAGUGGCGGACGGGUGAGGAAUACAUCGGAAUCUACUUUUUCGUGGGGGAUAACGUAGGGAAACUUACGCUAAUACCGCAUACGACCUACGGGUGAAAGCAGGGGAUCUUCGGACCUUGCGCGAUUGAAUGAGCCGAUAUCGGAUUAGCUAGUUGGCGGGGUAAAGGCCCACCAAGGCGACGAUCCGUAGCUGGUCUGAGAGGAUGAUCAGCCACACUGGAACUGAGACACGGUCCAGACUCCUACGGGAGGCAGCAGCGGGGAAUAUUGGACAAUGGGCGCAAGCCUGAUCCAGCCAUACCGCGUGGGUGAAGAAGGCCUUCGGGUUGUAAAGCCCUUUUGUUGGGAAAGAAAAGCAGCAGGUUAAUACCCCGCUGUUCUGACGGUACCCAAAGAAUAAGCACCGGCUAACUUCGUG